CGAUGUUUCCACUUUCAGGCCCCACAACUGCUCUUCUUGGCUUUUUUCCUGAGGUUCUUGCAACUGCAAAUGGAAUAAUACACUCAAAUUUUGAAGUGGGUCGAGCAAAUUGUAAACCCUAGCCCCAAAUUCCCAUCACCUGUUAUACAAAAAAAUGAUCAGUCAAUCAUAACAUACAGUAACAUCAUUUGAACCUAAACUUUUCAAAAGAGGGCUAGAAAGAAGAAAAAAAACAAGUAAAAACGCAGAAUCCAUAAAGGAUGUUUACCUACUUUGGCUACAAUACCAGUCUGGAUUGGUUUAUAUCAAGCUCUUUCAAAUGUGGCAAAUGAGGGACUGCUGACAGAAGGUUUCUUUUGGAUCCCCUCUUUCGAAGGCCCAACUACAAUAGCUGCUCGAUAAAGUGGAGCUGGAAUUUCCUGGCUUAUUCCGUUUGUGGUAAUUACACCAUGUUCUUUAUUCAUUGUCUUUGUUGUUUCUUUUAUCUAUAUUUGGAAUUUUAUUUCUUUGACAUCAUUUUUUAUGUUGACGUCCCUUAUCAUGCAUGCUUUAUUCCGAACACUUGAAAGGAACCAACAUAACUAUAUGUUCACCUGUUGAGACGUUUUGGCUUGAAGAACGUUGUUCAGUGACAAAGGCAUGGACUAGGAGAAUCUUUUGUUUUUCA
Camellia sinensis is the source of this 667-nucleotide non-coding RNA. NCBI's taxonomy places the organism in Eukaryota, Viridiplantae, Streptophyta, Magnoliopsida, Ericales, Theaceae. The record is from RefSeq and is a predicted model, not a curated record.